AUCAUUACACAAUAACCAGGCGGGCUGGACACCCCCCGCUGGGCACUGCUUCACGGCGUGCGCGGCGGGGCCGGCCCUGCUGAAUUAUUCACCCGUGUCUUUUGCGUACUUCUUGUUUCCUGGGUGGGCUCGCCCGCCCUCAGGACCAACCACAAACCUUUUGCAAUAGCAAUCAGCGUCAGUAACAACGUAAUUAAUUACAACUUUCAACAACGGAUCUCUUGGUUCUGGCAUCGAUGAAGAACGCAGCGAAAUGCGAUACGUAGUGUGAAUUGCAGAAUUCAGUGAAUCAUCGAAUCUUUGAACGCACAUUGCGCCCUUUGGUAUUCCAAAGGGCAUGCCUGUUCGAGCGUCAUUUGUACCCUCAAGCUUUGCUUGGUGUUGGGCGUCUUUUGUCUCCAGUUCGCUGGAGACUCGCCUUAAAGUCAUUGGCAGCCGGCCUACUGGUUUCGGAGCGCAGCACAAGUCGCGCUCUUUGCCAGCCAAGGUCAGCGUCCAGCAAGCCUUUUUUUCAACCUUGA
RNAcentral lists this ribosomal RNA (521 nucleotides) under Lewia cf. infectoria CBS 120152. RNAcentral's name for it is "eukaryotic LSU rRNA". The stretch from base 202 to 355 matches the Rfam family "5.8S ribosomal RNA". Lineage: Eukaryota; Fungi; Ascomycota; Dothideomycetes; Pleosporales; Pleosporaceae. The record is from RNAcentral.